CUUGGUUACAAACUGGUCACCAAGGAAGGCCUAGCCCAAACUACCACACAGUUUUAUGCUCCAGAAACUACUCUGAAGAAAACAUUUAGAGACAUAUAGAGACCAGUGGAAGAGGAUAAUGACAGCACUCUAUAGAAAGAAGAUAAUGAGUCUGGACACAAAAAAAUUCCAGUACAAUUUGGACAGCAGACCCCAUCAGAAUAUGUUGAACUCUAAAAACCUGACCCAGCAAAGCAUUUCUGAACCUACUGUAUAUUAAGCAGACAAGUAAUCUGAUGUAUUCUGCUGGACCUAUUAACACUUGAACAAAAAACUUGUAAUUUUUAUUUAAAUUUUUUUUUUUAAAUAAGGUAUGCCACAUUUCUACAUUAGGCAAGAGCUGAUGCAAAGCACCUCUGCUAAGACCCUGGAGGCUAUGGAACCUGAGCCUGAAAAGGCAAGUUUAAAUGCAGACAUACCAAGAGAUAUUUUAAUUAUAUAAUAAAUGCAGAAAAUAUAAUGCUAAAUUUGGGGAUUUUUUUUCUGUUUUAUUAGAAAGAAUGAUAAUACAUUUUUUUUGAAGCUAGGAACUUUUUUUGUUCCAUACAAGCUUCCUAUGGUCAAAAUUGGCUUAUGCAAAAGAAGUUAUAAAGUUUGCAUGAAAGCCUGAACUUUUCCAGCCUUCUUAUGCUUGCUUGAGUGACAGAAUGAUAUUAUUCUGAAGGUUGCACAGUGACUCUUUGAUCUUAAAGCUUGUAAAGGCCGUCUCACAUCUGCAUGUUCUAAUAUUCCCUGAUAAUCUGACUUGAACUUCAAGGCUUAUAAGACCUUGGAUCAGUGAUUUGCAAUUCAAGUGCCUCAGAAAGAAAAAAAAAAAAGGCAGCUUAGUCUUAUUAAGUGUUGUUGUGAAGCUAUUACAGGCAAGGGGUUUUUUUUUAAGCAGCUUUGAAAGUUCUGUCCAGAAACUUUGCCCAUAUAAAUACAUACAGAAUGUCACCAAUAUCACUGUGAGCUCCCUUGGGUCUCCUUUUCCCUCUGCUAACCCUAAGAAAUCCACUCAAAAUUUUAAGUAGGAGUUAAUCACAAUAAUAAAACACUC
Lepidothrix coronata (blue-crowned manakin) is the source of this 1078-nucleotide long non-coding RNA. RefSeq lists it as uncharacterized. The record is from RefSeq and is a predicted model, not a curated record. Lineage: Eukaryota; Metazoa; Chordata; Aves; Passeriformes; Pipridae. The transcript is spliced from 3 exons.